GUUUCCCAAAUCCCCACUCCAAUUCCUUCCGAGCAAGCACGCCGCAGGAAUUUGCACCAAUGGUGAUCCAUCACUCUGACCCCAUGUCCAUUUGCCGCGAUUGUGCUCAAGUGGCAGUCUCCCCGACGCAAAUUGCUGGGCGUAAGAUGUGCGCCUCUGUUGGUAGAGAGCGCCGCCAACCGGCUCGCUGGAAUGCCUCGCCGAAUGGUCAUGGCUCGUAAGGGAUUUUGGGGCAAGGAGGCCUGGCUGCUACGUCCGUUGCUACUUUGCACGCAGCAAUGGAACAAGCUACGGCCUUUUGGCAUCGCACUGGGAAUUCGCUGCUUCUACUACUUCAAACACAUGGGAAUGCCCUCCUCUAGGUGUGGACAAGCCAAGCCCAUGACCCGAACAGAUCGCAUGCUUUUAGCAGAAGCAAGGGUUUGGUGGUCUGUUCGAACAUGUUGUACUUUCUCCUUUACCUUUUCCUUUUGUUGAACUUCUUUCUGUAUGCGCACCAGCUAUUAUUUUUCAGUUGUGGAGUUAAGGUGGUACAGCUCCCAGUAUAAACUACUCUUUUAGACUGAAAUAGCAUCACUGCAAAUGAACUGUCGGAAGGAUAGAUUGUCGUGAUAUACUCUAACAUAAACUUCAAGAGGAAUAGAGGAAAAAAUAAUUCUUGAUCCAUUCGUAGAACUUGAAACAAUUAUGAAGUUGUCCUCGUUUUAGUAAUUCAUGAGUAGCAGUAUUUGUUAUAGUGGGAAUACAAAGCAUAUGUUGGUAGAGUAAUAAUUAGAAUCCAGGGUAACUUUGCUAAUAGUAAUAACUGACCUUUCCCAUGGAAUUUGCAAAUGUUCUUGUAUCAAUUACCCUAUAUGGAUACAAAUGAUUGAUAUUGUGUGCCUUAUGACCAGAUUACCAAUUCACCAUACGCACUAGGGAGCAAUGAAGUGUCGUGCUGCAAUUUACUUGUUUUUGGUAGAUUAGAUGACAAAUCUGUGGUCACUAACGCAAACAAUGUUCCUUGACAGCUCAUAUCAAAGAACAGAAGGAAAAGGACUUGCGUUUGGUCUGAUGCAAUCUUUGGUAAAAGUUGGUUUGUUCUGUACUUGUAUGUCUUUACUAGCAUAUGCUUUGCAAGUAACUAUGACAAAAGAAGAAAUAACCGUGCCAUUUGAAUCAACUGUGUUCUUACUUUAAUCAGUGCAUCAUCAUUACUGUGAUCGGAUCAACAUGUUAUCUGCUUUAAGAUCAUAAUGUUUUUCAUGUGGCAGCUCCUUCCAUGUUGCAUUACCUAUUGCUUAACAGAGAAGUAAAUUUAAGUUUGUUACUUGUGGUGCCUUUUUUUGAUCUAGGAUUUCUAGACCUAGUUUUGUUCCAUAACUAGCAUGAUAUGAUUGCUCUUUUUCCAAAUGGGAUCCUAAUUUUUUUUAAGCCAACUUGCUGUCCUAGAUGAAAGCCUUUCAAUUAUUAGUUCAUUGGCCCUUUUGUAAGAGCUGAAUGCAGAAAUCUGUUAGCUUUCAAAAUAAAAUAGUUGAACGAGCACUUUAGGAAUCUCUUCAAAGAGAAGGCCAUAUCAUGGAAAUUCAUUCCUUCAUCCACCUUUAAAUUUCCUCCUUUUCUUUUGCAGCAAGGAUGAUCUUGUGGGCUCCCUUGACCACUUCACAUGCAGGGAUCUUAGCAUAGCCUUGCAUCACUUUAUAAUUAUUUCUCUUCUUGUUUUCUGCACCUAAGUGCUCAACACUAACAAAACAGUAUAUUUGCAGUUAAGGUGGCUCAAUCUUUACUUUAAAAGAGGUUAGUUACUGUUUUCAUCUUUCUACUUUGGCACUGAUAAAAUGCUAUCCUUGGACCAUGACCAGUCCAUAUAUGCACAGCUUGAAACCGUUGGAUCCCCCAAAACUACUGCUGAUGCUUUAAGAUUCCCCAAUCUUUGCAUUCUGCAGUAAAGGAAGCAGGUAAAGCAUUGGAUGUUGUUAGCCUACAUGGAAAAAUGUGAGGAAAGAGGCUAUUGAAACUUGGUACAGAUCCUUUAAGUUUGAAUGGCUAGCUUUGGUGGCCUUGGAAGAUUCAAAGCGAAAAGCGUGCUCCUUGCAAGAAGGGCAAGCACAAGAAAUGAAAAGCAUGCAAAAGCACAAAGCCUUGCAUUGUACUGUUGUCUGCUGGUUACCACAACCUGGGAUGUUUUCACCUCUAUCUAUGAGCGGUUCAAUUUUGGUUUUUACUGGAGACUGGAAUAGAGGAGGAUGGCAACAAGUGUCUAAAGCAGGGGUUUGGUUCUUGCUGUUGCUCUUAUCCCCUACAUGGCCACUUUAGGUUUGUCUCUUGGGAUAGACGAUGAGCUCUCCCAUCCAAUGACUUUGCCAAAAUCUGCCUGUCAGGGUCUCAGAACCUUCCAUAAGCAGCCUUAGACAUGCCUCCCUUGUCCCUUUGUGCUUUGGGACCCGGCGUGGCCUUGGGCUAUAUUAGGGCUGUGCCGGCAUAAAUCGGAGCUCUGUGCGAAAAUCUAAAGUGGGGCCUACUAGACAGGCCAAAUAUUACUAUCAAGUGCAGGGUUCUGAUCAAGUAUCUGAUUAUUAGAGGACACUUGCGAUUCUUUUACAAUAAAUCUAUCCAUAGCUCCUUUUUUAUAUUGAGUUAAAUCGU
This is a long non-coding RNA of Panicum virgatum (switchgrass), 2625 nucleotides long. RefSeq lists it as uncharacterized. Lineage: Eukaryota; Viridiplantae; Streptophyta; Magnoliopsida; Poales; Poaceae. The transcript is spliced from 2 exons. The record is from RefSeq and is a predicted model, not a curated record.